Molecule: transfer RNA, 102 nt
Filed under: Nemania abortiva
Lineage: Eukaryota; Fungi; Ascomycota; Sordariomycetes; Xylariales; Xylariaceae
Description: tRNA-Met
Rfam family: tRNA
About the family: Transfer RNA (tRNA) molecules are approximately 80 nucleotides in length. Their secondary structure includes four short double-helical elements and three loops (D, anti-codon, and T loops).
Source: RNAcentral
GUCUUCGUGGCUCAGUUGGCUAGAGCGUUGGUCUCAUGUUUCUAUGAUCCAAUCCAAGAUUGGGAUAUCCAAAGGUCGUGAGUUCGAGCCUCACCGAGGACA